AACGAACGCUGGCGGCAGGCUUAACACAUGCAAGUCGAGCGCCUCGCAAGAGGAGCGGCAGACGGGUGAGUAACGCGUGGGAAUCUACCUAGUUCUACGGAACAACACAGGGAAACUUGUGCUAAUACCGUAUACGCCCUACGGGGAAAGAUUUAUCGGAAUUAGAUGAGCCCGCGUAAGAUUAGCUAGUUGGUGGGGUA
This 200-nucleotide ribosomal RNA is filed under the name uncultured bacterium. Its description in RNAcentral is "partial 16S ribosomal RNA". It matches the Rfam family "Bacterial small subunit ribosomal RNA", at positions 29 to 259 of the family's 1533-position model. The record is from RNAcentral.